AUUGAACGCUGGCGGCAGGCCUAACACAUGCAAGUCGAACGAGUGGCGGACGGGUGAGUAAUGUCUGGGAAACUGCCUGCUGGAGGGGGAUAACUACUGGAAACGGUAGCUAAUACCGCAUACCAUCAGAUGUGCCCAGAUGGGAUUAGCUUGUUGGUGGGGUAACGGCUCACCAAGGCGACGAUCCCUAGCUGGUCUGAGAGGAUGACGAGCAACAAGGGAACUGAGACGCUGUGCAGAGUCUUAAGGGAGGCAGCAGUCGGGAAUAUUGCACAAUGGGCGCAAGCGUGAUGCAGCCAUGCCGCGUGUAUGAAGAAGGCCUUCGGGUUGUAAAGUACUUUCAGCGUGGAGGCGUUACCCGCAGAAGAAGCACCGGCUAACUCCGUGCCAGCCGCCGCGGUAAUAC
RNAcentral lists this ribosomal RNA (406 nucleotides) under uncultured bacterium. Its description in RNAcentral is "partial 16S ribosomal RNA". It matches the Rfam family "Bacterial small subunit ribosomal RNA", at positions 30 to 526 of the family's 1533-position model. The record is from RNAcentral.